GGCAGCAGUGGGGAAUAUUGCACAAUGGACGAAAGUCUGAUGCAGCAAUGCCGCGUGUGUGAAGAAGGCCUUCGGGUUGUAAAGCACUUUCAGAUGUGAGGAAAAGCAAGCUAUUAAUACUAGGUUGCCGUGACGUUAACAUCAGAAGAAGGACCGGCUAACUCCGUGCCAGCAGCCGCGGUAAUACGGAGGGUCCAAGCGUUAAUCGGAAUUACUGGGCGUAAAGCGCGCGUAGGCGGAUAAUUAAGUCAGAUGUGAAAUCCCUGGGCUCAACCUAGGAACUGCAUUUGAUACUGGUUAUCUAGAGUAUGGUAGAGGUGAGUGGAAUUUCAGGUGUAGCGGUGAAAUGCGUAGAGAUCUGAAGGAACAUCAGUGGCGAAGGCGACUCACUGGGCCAUUACUGACGCUGAGGUGCGAAAGCGUGGGUAGCAAACAGGAUUAGAUACCCUGGUAGUCCACGCCCUAAACGAUGUCAACUAGGUGUGUGAGAGUCUAACUCUUGCGUAUCGAAGCUAACGCGAUAAGUUGACCGCCUGGGGAGUACGGUCGCAAGACUAAAACUCAAAGGAAUUGACGG
RNAcentral lists this ribosomal RNA (577 nucleotides) under uncultured bacterium. RNAcentral describes it as "bacterial SSU rRNA". It matches the Rfam family "Bacterial small subunit ribosomal RNA", at positions 347 to 916 of the family's 1533-position model. The record is from RNAcentral.